AAUGAAUUGCCUGAAAAAGGAUUACCUUGAUAGGGUAAAACAUGUAAUUUUAAUAGUUACAUUCAUUA
RNAcentral lists this transfer RNA (68 nucleotides) under Chironomus javanus. RNAcentral describes it as "tRNA-Ile". Lineage: Eukaryota; Metazoa; Arthropoda; Insecta; Diptera; Chironomidae. The record is from RNAcentral.